Long non-coding RNA from Rhagoletis zephyria (snowberry fruit fly), 186 nucleotides. RefSeq lists it as uncharacterized. NCBI's taxonomy places the organism in Eukaryota, Metazoa, Arthropoda, Insecta, Diptera, Tephritidae. The record is from RefSeq and is a predicted model, not a curated record.
AACCAAAAACUUUUCUUUGUCAGGCCUGCCCAAAAACAUUUAAGGAGUCAUGUGCCCUAAAAAAUCAUGAGCUCUGUCACAAUGAGAAUCGGGAAAGAUUUCCGUGCGACAUCUGUAACCAAAGCUUUUUAACUCCGUAUACAUACAAAAAACACAGGCUAACGCACGAAACCAACCGCAAACCAA